GUCCACGCCCUAAACGAUGUCAACUAGGUGUUGGGAGGGUAAAACCUUUUAGUACCGUAGCUAACGCGAGAAGUUGACCGCCUGGGGAGUACGGCCGCAAGGCUAAAACUCAAAGAAAUUGACGGGGCCCGCACAAGCGGUGGAGCAUGUGGUUUAAUUCGACGCAACGCGCAGAACCUUACCUGGGCUAGAAAAGGCCGGAAGCCCCUCAGAAACGAGGGUGUGCCCGCAAGGGAGCCGGUAUUCAGGUGCUGCAUGGCUGUCGU
Molecule: ribosomal RNA, 266 nt
Filed under: uncultured bacterium
Lineage: Bacteria
Description: partial 16S ribosomal RNA
Rfam family: Bacterial small subunit ribosomal RNA
Source: RNAcentral